This 1091-nucleotide ribosomal RNA is filed under the name fungal sp. ARIZ AZ0965. Its description in RNAcentral is "eukaryotic LSU rRNA". The stretch from base 495 to 1091 matches the Rfam family "Eukaryotic large subunit ribosomal RNA", at positions 1 to 601 of the family's 3401-position model. Lineage: Eukaryota; Fungi. The record is from RNAcentral.
GAUCAUUACCGAGUAAGGGGUCCUCUGGGCCCCAACUCCCCACCCUUUGUGUACGUACUCCGUUGCUUCGGCGGGCCCGCGGCGUGAAAACCCGCCGUCGGCCCAGGCUGACGAGCGCCCGCCAGAGGACCUUCAAAACCUAUUUAUCAGUGUCGUCUGAGUUCAGCUUCGAAUGUAGUAAAACUUUCAACAACGGAUCUCUUGGUUCUGGCAUCGAUGAAGAACGCAGCGAAAUGCGAUAAGUAAUGUGAAUUGCAGAAUUCAGUGAAUCAUCGAAUCUUUGAACGCACAUUGCGCCCCUUGGUAUUCCGAGGGGCACGCCUGUUCGAGCGUCAUUACACCCCUCAAGCUCGGCUUGGUAUUGGGCCCUCGUCCCCAUGGACGUGCCCGAAACUCCUCGGCGGCGGCGCCUUGCUUCAAAGCGUAGUGAAAUCACAAUCUCGCUUUGGAAGUGGAGGCAUCGCCCGCCGGACGAACCCAAAUCUUUCCAAGUUUGACCUCGGAUCAGGCGGGGAUACCCGCUGAACUUAAGCAUAUCAAUAAGCGGAGGAAAAGAAACCAACAGGGAUUGCCCUAGUAACGGCGAGUGAAGCGGCAACAGCUCAAAUUUGAAAUCUGGCGCCUUCGGUGCCCGAGUUGUAAUUUGCAGAGGAUGCUUCGGCGUCGGCUCCGGUCUAAGUCCCUUGGAACAGGGCGUCACAGAGGGUGAGAAUCCCGUACGUGGCCGGCCGCCUCAGCCAUGUGAAGCUCCUUCGACGAGUCGAGUUGUUUGGGAAUGCAGCUCUAAACGGGAGGUAAAUUUCUUCUAAAGCUAAAUACCGGCCAGAGACCGAUAGCGCACAAGUAGAGUGAUCGAAAGAUGAAAAGCACUUUGAAAAGAGAGUUAAAAAGUACGUGAAAUUGUUGAAAGGGAAGCGCUUGCAGCCAGACUUGACCGCGGAUGCUCAACCGGCCCUUCGGCCGGUGCACUCUUCCGCGGUCAGGCCAGCGUCGGUUUGGGCGGCCGGAUAAAGGCCCCGGGAAUGUAGCUCCUCUCGGGGAGUGUUAUAGCCCGGGGCGUAAUACGGCCAGCCCGGACCGAGGACCGCGCU